GAUGAACGCUGGCGGCGUGCCUAAUACAUGCAAGUCGAGCGAACAGACGAGGAGCUUGCUCCUCUGACGUUAGCGGCGGACGGGUGAGUAACACGUGGAUAACCUACCUAUAAGACUGGGAUAACUUCGGGAAACCGGAGCUAAUACCGGAUAAUAUAUUGAACCGCAUGGUUCAAUAGUGAAAGACGGUUUUGCUGUCACUUAUAGAUGGAUCCGCGCCGCAUUAGCUAGUUGGUAAGGUAACGGCUUACCAAGGCAACGAUGCGUAGCCGACCUGAGAGGGGGAUCGGCCACACGGGAACUGAGACACGGUCCAGACUCCUACGGGAGGCAGCAGUAGGGAAUCUUACGCAAUGGGCGAAAGCCUGACGGAGCAACGCCGCGUGAGUGAUGAAGGUCUUCGGAUCGUAAAACUCUGUUAUUAGGGAAGAACAAAUGUGUAAGUAACUAUGCACGUCUUGACGGUACCUAAUCAGAAAGCCACGGCUAACUACGUG
RNAcentral lists this ribosomal RNA (497 nucleotides) under uncultured bacterium. RNAcentral's name for it is "partial 16S ribosomal RNA". It matches the Rfam family "Bacterial small subunit ribosomal RNA", at positions 28 to 507 of the family's 1533-position model. The record is from RNAcentral.